This 273-nucleotide ribosomal RNA is filed under the name uncultured bacterium. RNAcentral's name for it is "partial 16S ribosomal RNA". It matches the Rfam family "Bacterial small subunit ribosomal RNA", at positions 524 to 796 of the family's 1533-position model. The record is from RNAcentral.
UACGAAGGGGGCUAGCGUUGUUCGGAUUUACUGGGCGUAAAGCGCACGUAGGCGGAUUGUUAAGUCAGGGGUGAAAUCCUGGAGCUCAACUCCAGAACUGCCUUUGAUACUGGCAACCUAGAGUCCGGAAGAGGUGAGUGGAACUCCUAGUGUAGAGGUGGAAUUCGUAGAUAUUAGGAAGAACACCAGUGGCGAAGGCGGCUCACUGGUCCGGUACUGACGCUGAGGUGCGAAAGCGUGGGGAGCAAACAGGAUUAGAAACCCCAGUAGUCC